Oxyura jamaicensis (ruddy duck) is the source of this 301-nucleotide long non-coding RNA. RefSeq lists it as uncharacterized. Lineage: Eukaryota; Metazoa; Chordata; Aves; Anseriformes; Anatidae. The transcript is spliced from 2 exons. The record is from RefSeq and is a predicted model, not a curated record.
CUAAAUCAUCACUGAGGUUCUUCCAGUCUGUUUUGUUAAGAUAGAGCUUGAAAAACUCCUGAAUACUAUUAUAAUGUGUAGUUUCCUGCAAUAACAUGACUUGUCCAAUGCCUUCUUUUCUGGUCCUCCGUUCCUACUCUACAGGCACACACAAAUCUGCUGCUAUCCAGAGAGUAUCUUAUUAAGUUAUAUAUAAUUCUUUACAUUCAUCAAUAUCAAAACGAAACCUUGCAUGUUCAUAUCUGAGAGCAGAAAUUUCAUCUUAGUGGAAAUCAGAUCAAUUAAUCUUGAAGACACUGAA